RNAcentral lists this unclassified non-coding RNA (235 nucleotides) under air metagenome. RNAcentral describes it as "partial contains small subunit ribosomal RNA, internal transcribed spacer 1, and 5.8S ribosomal RNA". The stretch from base 1 to 46 matches the Rfam family "Eukaryotic small subunit ribosomal RNA", at positions 1786 to 1831 of the family's 1831-position model. The record is from RNAcentral.
AAGUCAUAACAAGGUUUCUGUAGGUGAACCUGCAGAAGGAUCAUUAUUGAAUCGUAAAAAACGGGACGUUGUGCUUUCGAGCCGACGUCUCUACAUUCAUUUUUUCCUUUACACACCUGUGAAUCGUUGCUGAGCUCGCUCAGUGGCACAACCAAACUUUUUUUUACACAUAAGUAUUGAACGUAACAAAACAUAAAAUAAAAAAUAACUUUUGACAACGGAUCUCUUGGUUCUC